UCGCUCAACGGAUAAAAGGUACUCCGGGGAUAACAGGCUGAUACCGCCCAAGAGUUCAUAUCGACGGCGGUGUUUGGCACCUCGAUGUCGGCUCAUCACAUCCUGGGGCUGAAGUAGGUCCCAAGGGUAUGGCUGUUCGCCAUUUAAAGUGGUACGCGAGCUGGGUUUAGAACGUCGUGAGACAGUUCGGUCCCUAUCUGCCGUGGGCGCUGGAGAACUGAGGGGGGCUGCUCCUAGUACGAGAGGACCGGAGUGGACGCAUCACUGGUGUUCGGGUUGUCAUGCCAAUGGCACUGCCCGGUAGCUAAAUGCGGAAGAGAUAAGUGCUGAAAGCAUCUAAGCACGAAACUUGCCCCGA
Molecule: ribosomal RNA, 358 nt
Filed under: Salmonella enterica subsp. enterica serovar Bovismorbificans
Lineage: Bacteria; Pseudomonadati; Pseudomonadota; Gammaproteobacteria; Enterobacterales; Enterobacteriaceae
Also listed under: 1 other name
Description: partial 23S ribosomal RNA
Rfam family: Bacterial large subunit ribosomal RNA
Source: RNAcentral